This 898-nucleotide ribosomal RNA is filed under the name uncultured bacterium. RNAcentral describes it as "bacterial SSU rRNA". It matches the Rfam family "Bacterial small subunit ribosomal RNA", at positions 11 to 950 of the family's 1533-position model. The record is from RNAcentral.
GUUUGAUCCUGGCUCAGGAUGAACGCUGGCGGUAUGCUUAACACAUGCAAGUCGAACGGGGCUUUACGGAGCCUAGUGGCGGACGGGUGAGUAACGCGUGAGAAUCUGCCUACAGGUUCGGGACAACAGUUGGAAACGACUGCUAAUACCGGAUGUGCCGAGAGGUAAAAGCUUAAUGUGCCUGUAGAUGAGCUCGCGUCCGAUUAGCUAGUUGGUGAGGUAAGAGCUCACCAAGGCGAUGAUCGGUAGCUGGUCUGAGAGGAUGAUCAGCCACACUGGGACUGAGGCACGGCCCAGACUCCUACGGGAGGCAGCAGUGGGGAAUUUUCCGCAAUGGGCGCAAGCCUGACGGAGCAAUACCGCGUGAGGGAGGAAGGCUUUUGGGUCGUAAACCUCUUUUAUUGGGGAAGAAGCACUGACGGUACCCAAUGAAUCAGCAUCGGCUAACUCCGUGCCAGCAGCCGCGGUAAUACGGAGGAUGCAAGCGUUAUCCGGAAUCAUUGGGCGUAAAGCGUCCGCAGGUGGUUAAUCAAGUCUGCUGUUAAAGCGUGCGGCUUAACCGCAUAUCGGCAGUGGAAACUGGUUGACUAGAGUUCGGUAGGGGUCACGGGAAUUCCCAGUGUAGCGGUGAAAUGCGUAGAUAUUGGGAAGAACACCAGCGGCGAAAGCGCGUGACUGGGCCUGAACUGACACUGAGGGACGAAAGCUAGGGGAGCGAAAGGGAUUAGAUACCCCUGUAGUCCUAGCUGUAAACGAUGACAACUAGGUGUUGCCCGUAUCGACCCGGGCAGUGCCGGAGCUAACGCGUUAAGUUGUCCGCCUGGGGAGUACGCACGCAAGUGUGAAACUCAAAGGAAUUGACGGGGGCCCGCACAAGCGGUGGAGUAUGUGGUUUAAU